GACGAACGCUGGCGGCGUGCUUAACACAUGCAAGUCGAACGGAAAGGCCCUGCUUGCAGGGUACUCGAGUGGCGAACGGGUGAGUAACACGUGGGUGAUCUGCCCUGCACUUCGGGAUAAGCCUGGGAAACUGGGUCUAAUACCGGAUAGGAGCCAUUUUUAGUGUGAUGGUUGGAAAGUUUUUUCGGUGUAGGAUGAGCUCGCGGCCUAUCAGCUUGUUGGUGGGGUAAUGGCCUACCAAGGCGGCGACGGGUAGCCGGCCUGAGAGGGUGGACGGCCACAUUGGGACUGAGAUACGGCCCAGACUCCUACGGGAGGCAGCAGUGGGGAAUAUUGCACAAUGGGCGCAAGCAUGAUGCAGCGACGCCGCGUGGGGGAUGACGGCCUUCGGGUUGUAAACUCCUUUCGCUAGGGACGAAGCUUUUGUGACGGUACCUAGAUAAGAAGCACCGGCUAACUACGU
This 463-nucleotide ribosomal RNA is filed under the name uncultured bacterium. Its description in RNAcentral is "partial 16S ribosomal RNA". It matches the Rfam family "Bacterial small subunit ribosomal RNA", at positions 28 to 506 of the family's 1533-position model. The record is from RNAcentral.